Molecule: ribosomal RNA, 974 nt
Filed under: Elphidium sp. 1244
Lineage: Eukaryota; Foraminifera; Rotaliida; Elphidiidae
Description: SSU rRNA
Rfam family: Eukaryotic small subunit ribosomal RNA
Source: RNAcentral
AAGGGCACCACAAGAACGCGUGGAUCAUGUGGCUUAAUUUGACUCAACGCGGGAAAUCUUACCGGGUCCGGACACACUGAGGAUUGACAGGUUAUGGGGCGGGUUGAAUUUCAAUCUCUUCGGGGAUUAAUUUUCUCCCACCUCAAAAAUAUGCUAGUCCUUUCAUGAUUAUGUGAUAGGUGGUGCAUGGCCGUUCUUAGUUCGUGGAGUGAUCUGUCUGCUUAAUUGCGUUUCACUAAAGGCGUCAUUAAUUUUUUGUGCCUGUGUUUGACCCCGCACUUCGGUGCGCGCGCGUCUUUCACACACAAUUACUUUGACGUCUGAAAGCAACGAACGUGACCGUAACCUCUUGUUGCCUUCUCUUCUCUUCGGAGAAUGCUGCUUUAUACCUUCACGGGUGUGUUGCAGUAUACGGAGGCUUAAUACUCAGUAACUAGAGGGACCGCUGUUACUUUCUUUAAACCAGAGGAAGGUUGCGGCAAUAACAGGUCUAUGAUGCCCUUAGAUGUUCCGGGCUGCACACGUGAUACAUUGAUUACUUCAGUGAGUAUCUACGUAUUACUGCGCAGCAGUAUACGCGUGUUGUUUAUUGCUUCGGCAAUUUACUUUGCGCUAUACGCCGCCUUAACCUACUUCGAAAGUAUGUGGGUAACCAAUUAGAAGUAGUGAUUUCCCUCUUUAUAAGCACACUUAUAUGGAGCAUCAUCACCCGGCAUGCCUUGUGCAUGUUUUGUGUGUGUUGUUUGUCUACAUGUGCUUUUGUCAAUUCAUAGUGGGGACAGACCAUUGCUAAUUGUUGGUCUCGGUCUUAACUAGGAAUGCCUUGUACGAGUUUUUGGUUCAACAAACCACUCGGAAUACGUCCCUGCCCUUUGUACACACCGCCCGUCGCUCUUACCGAUGGAUUAUAUUAUGAGUUGGCAGGACCGUCCAGGAAAUGCCUGCGAAUAAUGUGAUCUAAAGGAAAGAGAAGU